AAGACAGCAGUAGCCACGGGAAUACGUAGGUGGCAAGCGUUGUCCGGAAUUAUUGGGCGUAAAGCGCGCGCGGGUGGUUUAAUAAGUCUGAUGUGAAAGCCCACGGCUCAACCGUGGAGGGUCAUUGGAAACUGUUAAACUUGAGUGCAGGAGAGAAAAGUGGAAUUCCUAGUGUAGCGGUGAAAUGCGUAGAGAUUAGGAGGAACACCAGUGGCGAAGGCGGCUUUUUGGCCUGUAACUGACACUGAGGCGCGAAAGCGUGGGGAGCAAACAGGAUUAGAUACCCCAGUAGUCCCUGUCUCUUAUAC
RNAcentral lists this ribosomal RNA (308 nucleotides) under uncultured bacterium. RNAcentral describes it as "partial 16S ribosomal RNA". It matches the Rfam family "Bacterial small subunit ribosomal RNA", at positions 503 to 807 of the family's 1533-position model. The record is from RNAcentral.